UCGAAAAGCCCCCCGAGCCGGUCCCCUA
RNAcentral lists this non-coding RNA (28 nucleotides) under Bombyx mori (domestic silkworm). Lineage: Eukaryota; Metazoa; Arthropoda; Insecta; Lepidoptera; Bombycidae. The record is from RNAcentral.